This 532-nucleotide ribosomal RNA is filed under the name uncultured bacterium. RNAcentral describes it as "bacterial SSU rRNA". It matches the Rfam family "Bacterial small subunit ribosomal RNA", at positions 95 to 630 of the family's 1533-position model. The record is from RNAcentral.
ACGGCGCACGGGUGCGUAAAAGUGGGUAAUCUGCCCUUCGAUGGGGAAUAACUCCGGGAAACCGAAGCUAAUUCCGCAUAACAUUCCUUGAACUUCGGUUUGGGGAUUCAAAGCCGUAAGGCGUCGGAGGAGGAACCCGCGCACGAUUAGCUAGUUGGUAGGGUAACGGCCUACCAAGGCUUUGAUCGUUAGCUGGUCUGAGAGGAUGGCCAGCCACACUGGAACUGAGACACGGUCCAGACUCCUACGGGAGGCAGCAGUGGGGAAUCUUGCACAAUGGGCGAAAGCCUGAUGCAGCGACGCCGCGUGGGGGAUGAAGCUUUUCGGAGUGUAAACCCCUUUCGACCCGGACGAAUACCCUGCAAAGGGGGUGACGGUACGGGUAUAAGAAGCCCCGGCUAACUACGUGCCAGCAGCCGCGGUAAGACGUGGGGGGCCAGCGUUGUUCGGAAUUACUGGGUGUAAAGGGUCAGUAGGCGGUGUGGCAAGUCGGGAGUGAAAUCUCUGGGCUCAACCCUGAGACUGCUUCCGA